Molecule: ribosomal RNA, 500 nt
Filed under: uncultured bacterium
Lineage: Bacteria
Description: partial 16S ribosomal RNA
Rfam family: Bacterial small subunit ribosomal RNA
Source: RNAcentral
AUUGAACGCUGGCGGCAUGCCUUACACAUGCAAGUCGAACGGCAGCACGGACUUCGGUCUGGUGGCGAGUGGCGAACGGGUGAGUAAUACAUCGGAACGUGCCCAGUCAUGGGGGAUAACGAAGCGAAAGUUGUGCUAAUACCGCAUACGCCCUGAGGGGGAAAGGGGGGGAUCCCAAGACCUCAAGUUAUUGGAGCGGCCGAUGGCUGAUUAGAUAGUUGGUGAGGUAAAGGCUCACCAAGGCGACGAUCAGUAGCUGGUCUGAGAGGACGACCAGCCACACUGGGACUGAGACACGGCCCAGACUCCUACGGGAGGCAGCAGUGGGGAAUUUUGGACAAUGGGCGAAAGCCUGAUCCAGCAAUGCCGCGUGUGCGAAGAAGGCCUUCGGGUUGUAAAGUACUUUUGUCAGGGAAGAAAACUGUUUGGCUAAUACCCGAAUAGGAUGCCGGUACCUGAAGAAUAAGCACCGGCUAACUACGUGCCAGCCGCCGCCGUAA